Molecule: ribosomal RNA, 253 nt
Filed under: uncultured bacterium
Lineage: Bacteria
Description: partial 16S ribosomal RNA
Rfam family: Bacterial small subunit ribosomal RNA
Source: RNAcentral
UACGUAGGGUGCGAGCGUUGUCCGGAAUUACUGGGCGUAAAGAGCUCGUAGGUGGCUUGUCGCGUUGUUCGUGAAAACUCACAGCUCAACUGUGGGCGUGCGGGCGAUACGGGCAGACUAGAGUACUGCAGGGGAGACUGGAAUUCCUGGUGUAGCGGUGGAAUGCGCAGAUAUCAGGAGGAACACCGGUGGCGAAGGCGGGUCUCUGGGCAGUAACUGACGCUGAGGAGCGAAAGCGUGGGGAGCGAACAGG